RNAcentral lists this ribosomal RNA (253 nucleotides) under uncultured bacterium. RNAcentral describes it as "partial 16S ribosomal RNA". It matches the Rfam family "Bacterial small subunit ribosomal RNA", at positions 524 to 776 of the family's 1533-position model. The record is from RNAcentral.
GACGAACCGUGCGAACGUUGUUCGGAAUCACUGGGCUUAAAGGGCGCGUAGGCGGGUUGCCGCGUCCGGGGUGAAAUCCCACGGCUCAACCGUGGGACGGCCCCGGAUACGGGCGGCCUGGAGGGGGGUAGGGGCGGGCGGAACUCUGCGUGGAGCGGUGAAAUGCGUUGAUAUGCAGAGGAACACCGAUGGCGAAGGCAACCACCUGGGCCUGCACUGACGCUGAGGUACGAAAGCGUGGGGAGCAAACAGG